GUAGGGGAAAUAAUUGUAUGUUGUUAGCAAUGAAUAUAUGUAAACCUUUAAAAAUGAAUUAAUGUUUUUGAUAUAGCAUGUUUAAUUCAAGCUAGUCUGUGUUCAAUUAUUGGAAGCAGGGAGUGAACGCUCUAAGAAAUAAAAUAACCUAGGGUGAAACACCUUAUUUUAUGAAAAACUAAUUUUUAGGAGCAUUUUCUUUUAUACUAUGUAAAAAAAUCCCUGAAAGAUGAACAGACUUUGACAGCUGUUAUAGGUGAGAGCCUCAAGUAAAGAUAAAAUUAAAUGUUUUCCUUAAAUGCUAUUGCCCAAAUAAUGAAUAUCCAUAAUUGAAAACUGAGAUUACCUUAUACUUUGCUUUGUUCUCUCUGCCAGAGUCCUACCCACUGUAUUAGUUGUUAGAGUUGUGGAACUUAACCGAAGCUUUCUCUGGAUUCCAGAUGUUUUAAGAAUAUUUUCAGCUGCAUGGCUUGACAGCCUUGGGAUUCCCUCACACAUUCACAGUCUUUUUUGGAUCAGUCUGAUGUGAGCAUGAAAACUGGGAGUUGUGGAGCCCACUUAGGAAAUGAUUGCAAUUGUCCAGGAGACAGAUGAUGGUAAUUAAGUUUCCAUCAGCCUGGAACUCAGGACAGAAGAUACAUAUUCUGUAUGUAGAGAAUCACUGGAGGUCAAAUGUCUUUGCCAAUUUGAGUUUUUCCACUUGAACAAGAAAAGACUGUCAAGGGAAAGCCAAUCAAUUUCACAAUGUUUAGGUAAGUAUAAAUGUAAUAAAGAAUAUUACAUUUGAAUGGAUUUAGUAAUUAAAAAGCAUAAUGGAAAAUGGAAAGUAAAAACUGCUGUACAGAAAAGCCAUCUUAUUACUUAGUGUAAUUAUUUAUGAAUAAAUUUUGCAUCUCAAAAGACAUGAAAAUUUUUACUUCGAAAGAAAACUACAAAACAAAGAAAUGGAAAUUUAUUUGAUAAUUUCAAUAGCUUUUCAGUUCCCAGAAAAAUAGAGACUCAAUCCAGUCUCUUUACUUUUUAAGACUGGAUUGUUAAUUUGGGGUA
Molecule: long non-coding RNA, 1047 nt
Filed under: Homo sapiens (human)
Lineage: Eukaryota; Metazoa; Chordata; Mammalia; Primates; Hominidae
Description: PDC antisense RNA 1
Source: RNAcentral